This 293-nucleotide unclassified non-coding RNA is filed under the name Gossypium longicalyx. Its description in RNAcentral is "ITS1". The record is from RNAcentral. Lineage: Eukaryota; Viridiplantae; Streptophyta; Magnoliopsida; Malvales; Malvaceae.
UCGAAACCUGCCUAGCAGAACGACCCGUGAACGCGUUGUAAACAACAUYGGAGGUGGUGCAGGUGCAUCGUCGCCUGUUGCCACCCCCGCGUGUCGGAGUGGCCGGUCUUGUCGUCCCUUUGCCCAUCGGGUGGGGUGAGAUGUCAGGAUCAACCUCUUCGAUGCAAAACGAACAAACCCCCGGCGUGAAUUGCGCCAAGGAAUCGAAAUGAAAAAAGGGACACGUCUUAUGUUGCCGCACCGUUCGCGGUGUCAGUGCUUCAGUGAUGUUGUUCUUUUGUCGCAAAAUAUAU